GGAGGGGCAGAGAGGCGGUGUUCAUAUUUUGGUUGGUGUCUCAGUUUCUAGGUUUGCAUGUGGCUCCCCUUAUGUGUACAGCUGUCACAUCAGGCUUAGGUUGUCUAUAUUUAUCCCAGUUUAAAGCAAGACGUUAUAUGCAGCUUUUAUUUAAUACAAACUAAGUAGCACUUCAGGUUGGAACACUGCUAGGAACCACAGUUUAUAUUGAUUGGAAUCCUGCAAAGGGAGUGGGAAUGUUGAAUUUAGUUGGGUCGUGUGGGCAUGUCGCUUUGAAUAAAAGUGCCUGCUACAUGAAUACAAUUUAAAUGUUAAUUCAGGAAUAAUGGACGUAAGAAAGAAAAAUAUUCCAGCACACUGUAGUUAACUUUGGUGUACGCUGAAAGUGGUCCACUCAUCUCAUAUCCCAACUUACAGAAAUGUCCUGUAAGGUUGUCAUGGUUGACAUAUUGCCAACAAUUUUCAAUAGGUGACAGGAAAUGUAUAAAGUUCAAAAAGUACACUAACGUAUUUAAAGCAACCCUGUGUCAAUUCUAGAUGUCCAAGUAUGUGGUUAUCAUUUAGCAGACACUUUAAACAACCAUGAUCCCAUCCACUCCUUAGAUAUAGUGUGUCCAGGGCUGUGAAUAAGUCAGCUAGCUCUAGGCACACCAAGCACAUCAGGGAAUCUCAUAAUCUGUGGUCCAAUCAGCAAAGACUUAUCUCCUUCUUCUCCGAGCCUGCAGCUGCCACUGGGGGUCAUUCCCAUUUGUUUAUACCAUCAUCCAGUACAUAGACUUGAGAUGUUCAAUCCGCUGCUAGAAACUUUAGCCUCUGUCUAUGAUUUCUGCGACACUAAAGAAUUUGCACACGACAGUCAUUGAGUCCUUUCCCUUUUGGAAAGAAGAGUGUGAUUAGGCCUCCUCACGGUGCCUGGCCUCAUUUAUAAAGGUGCGUACGCAUAAAAACCAUGCAUACUCAACCUCUGUACACAAGUCGGCA
Long non-coding RNA from Osmerus eperlanus (European smelt), 981 nucleotides. RefSeq lists it as uncharacterized. The record is from RefSeq and is a predicted model, not a curated record. The transcript is spliced from 2 exons. NCBI's taxonomy places the organism in Eukaryota, Metazoa, Chordata, Actinopteri, Osmeriformes, Osmeridae.